Molecule: ribosomal RNA, 500 nt
Filed under: uncultured bacterium
Lineage: Bacteria
Description: partial 16S ribosomal RNA
Rfam family: Bacterial small subunit ribosomal RNA
Source: RNAcentral
AUUGAACGCUGGCGGCAUGCCUUACACAUGCAAGUCGAACGGCAGUACGGGAGCAGUCCUGGUGGCGAGUGGCGAACGGGUGAGUAAAGUAUCGGAACGUGCCCAGUCGUGGGGGAUAACGUAGCGAAAGUUACGCUAAUACCGCAUACGAUCUAUGGAUGAAAGCGGGGGAUCGCAAGACCUCGCGCGAUUGGAGCGGCCGAUAUCAGAUUAGGUAGUUGGUGGGGUAAAGGCUCACCAAGCCGACGAUCUGUAGCUGGUCUGAGAGGACGAACAGCCACACUGGGACUGAGACACGGCCCAGAAUCCUACGGGAGGCAGCAGUGGGGAAUUUUGGACAAUGGGCGAAAGCCUGAUCCAGCCAUGCCGCGUGCAGGAUGAAGGCCUUCGGGUUGUAAACUGCUUUUGUACGGAACGAAAAGGUUUGGCCUAAUAAGCUGAGCUCAUGACGGUACCGUAAGAAUAAGCACCGGCUAACUACGUGCCAGCCGCCGCCGUAA